CGUAGUUCUUCUCGUUAUGGCAGCAACACAAGAAAAGCUGUCAUCUCAAAUAGUAGGCCAAGUUCCUCUGGUGAACCUAGUGAAGGUCGUCCCAGCAGAUUACUCUCAAGUGGUGGCCGUCUGACUUCUUCACAGAGAAUCCAACCUGGGUAUGAGUCAAAAUCAUCUACCCGUGCUGUGGCUUCUUCUAAAGGCACCCGUGAGGACACUUUUAGGAGCUUUCCUCUCAAUCAGGAAGUGAUGAGAGUUUGAUGUAAGAGGUACUUGCUUAAGCCUCGGAUAGAUGCAUAACUCGUCCUUGUCAAGCAAGCAAUCUUGGAAUUUGUAAAACUUGCCAUUGUAUAUCACUUAAUCACUGUCAUAACUGACGAUUUCACAUCUUUUAAAA
RNAcentral lists this unclassified non-coding RNA (388 nucleotides) under Hevea brasiliensis (rubber tree). The record is from RNAcentral. Lineage: Eukaryota; Viridiplantae; Streptophyta; Magnoliopsida; Malpighiales; Euphorbiaceae.